Long non-coding RNA from Cornus florida, 496 nucleotides. RefSeq lists it as uncharacterized. Lineage: Eukaryota; Viridiplantae; Streptophyta; Magnoliopsida; Cornales; Cornaceae. The transcript is spliced from 3 exons. The record is from RefSeq and is a predicted model, not a curated record.
AACAUGUAUAACACGUAUAAAAGACAAAAUUGGUCAUUUUUUAGGGUUUUAUACGUGCAGCUUCUCUCUAGCGAUUUUGGACGACUCGGCUAUUUAUAAUUGUUUGGCUACCGAUCGAAGCUCACAAUAGUAUUUUCGCUCAAAACCUUCAACGAUCUUUGCUAUUUUCCUCUUAUCUUCGAAGACUAGGCCAGGAACAAGUUAGCAGUGAGGACAAAAACGCUUAAGGGAGAAAAAGCUUCGGUUUAUUUAACCUUUUUGUUCACGACAGUUUCAGACUCAGACGUGUUCGUGCUGAGCAGAGGUUUUCUAAUCACUCUACCGACGAUGUAGGAUUUCUCAUUAAAGCUUACUUCUGGAUGUUUUAUCAGUUAUUUUAUUACUGUUUGAGUAGUUAUUAGGGGUCCACUAGAGAUGGAUUCCCGAGUUGUACCCUUGGAGCUUUUAGAUUAUUGGGAUUUAAGUUUUUAUCUUUAAAGGAUUUUAUAUUAGUUUC